AGGUUGUUUGUGUCAGACGGAUGGAGCUUUCAAGAGUGGAUGCUUUUGCUGUGAUGAGCCAGAGAAGCAAGAUGCACAUGAUCCUCCAGUUUCAUGGCUUCACUUUUGGUUUGUCCUAGGGAUUGAAAAAAGUCCCAGAGAUCUCUGCAGCAACAUUGGAGACAGGCCUGGGUGGAGAAGACCAGAGAGGAGCUGGCACUGGAUCCAGUACGUUCUAAAGAAGCUGAGCUCUACUGGGUGGACAGAGCCAUGACUGGCAGAGAGAAAUGGAGUCUCCGGAGAGAGUACACCCACGACUGCUGGUGUCGAAUGAGGAUGGCCACAGCCCCCUA
Molecule: long non-coding RNA, 332 nt
Organism: Meriones unguiculatus (Mongolian gerbil)
Lineage: Eukaryota; Metazoa; Chordata; Mammalia; Rodentia; Muridae
Exons: 3
Source: RefSeq, a predicted model, not a curated record